Aedes aegypti (yellow fever mosquito) is the source of this 282-nucleotide long non-coding RNA. RefSeq lists it as uncharacterized. NCBI's taxonomy places the organism in Eukaryota, Metazoa, Arthropoda, Insecta, Diptera, Culicidae. The transcript is spliced from 2 exons. The record is from RefSeq and is a predicted model, not a curated record.
GAUUGGAUGGAAUCAAUUCCACCCACAAAACGAUGGCAUUCUUGUCUUGACGAAGGAACCAAAUGUUUGAAGAGUGAAUGCGUUUUUUCGGAAAAGCUGAUGCGACGAUGAUAUGCUUUAUUCCGCAAAAUCCACUUUACUGCCCUAAAUCAACUAUGGUAAAUAUGCGUUAUACUGAGAUGUUAAAAAGUACAGAUAUAUCAAACGACGUCAGCUGAUCCGCCAUUCUGCAGCCGGAGCAUCAUUGGAGAGAAACAUCCACUUGAAAGAAUAAAUAACGAU